Molecule: long non-coding RNA, 249 nt
Filed under: Ananas comosus (pineapple)
Lineage: Eukaryota; Viridiplantae; Streptophyta; Magnoliopsida; Poales; Bromeliaceae
Description: long non-coding RNA (ACOM_LNC010424)
Source: RNAcentral
CGUCGCAAGCCCGCUGCGAACAAUUUCCAAAACGGCAUCAAAGUCGUCAAAUAUUAAUAACUAUAAUCGGAAUCUUACGAUUUUAGUUUUCUAACUGAAAUUCCUGCUUACCUCAGGUUAGAACACCUUCUAACCAGUCCCCAAGGUCACCAAUUAAGCUUAAAUUAAUCCGCAAACCUGCUGCGAAGAGCACAAUCCAAAUUGCAUUAAGUUAUUCAAAUAAACUUCGUAUAAUUGCGAAAUAACUUC